GUGACUUCUAAAGGGAUAGGCUGAUGGCA
RNAcentral lists this non-coding RNA (29 nucleotides) under Homo sapiens (human). Lineage: Eukaryota; Metazoa; Chordata; Mammalia; Primates; Hominidae. The record is from RNAcentral.